Cucumis sativus (cucumber) is the source of this 1990-nucleotide RNA transcript. It is a transcript of the gene named ABSCISIC ACID-INSENSITIVE 5-like protein 6, with no coding region annotated. The record is from RefSeq and is a predicted model, not a curated record. NCBI's taxonomy places the organism in Eukaryota, Viridiplantae, Streptophyta, Magnoliopsida, Cucurbitales, Cucurbitaceae. The transcript is spliced from 6 exons.
UCUCUCACACAAUUUUUAUAAAAAUAAAGUUCCAAUUUUUUUAUAAAAAAAAAACCCAGAAAAGUAAGCUCUCAAAUCCUCCAUUUAAGCUCAGAUCUCUGGGUGAGACACCUGUCGACUCCACCAGCCUAAACAAAGAAGGGGUCUCUCAGUUUCAAGUCACUGCCAAUUUUCCUAAAAAUACCCAACAAUUUUUCCUUAGAAAAAGGGGGAAAAAAGGAAAAUUUAUAUUAAAAUUUAUAAAAAAAAAAUUUAAAGGUUUUCCUUCAUUCAGUGGUAAGAAAACUGAGAUUGGCAAAGAUAAAAAGGAACAUACUUGAACUAUUACACGAGAAAGACUAAUUUUCAAGGCAGUUGCUGUGUCCACACGAGUUGAACUCUCAAAUGAAUUUCAGAAACUUUGAGGAUAUCCCACCAGGAGAAGGCCCUAUGGCUAAGGCACAAGGAAAUUUCACAUUGACCAGACAGCCUUCCAUAUACUCUUUAACCUUUGAUGAAUUUCAGAACACUUGGAAUGGACUUGGAAAGGAUGUCGGUUCGAUGAAUAUGGAUGAACUUCUUAAAAACAUAUGGACUGCCGAAGAGUCUCAGGCUGUAACAUCUGCAGGUGCUGCUACGGGCGGAGCUGGAAUCACGAAUGGUGGGAACUUGCAGAGGCAAGGUUCGUUAACUUUACCCAGGACCAUUAGUCAGAAAACGGUCGAUGAAGUUUGGAAAGACUUGAGUAAAGAGAAUACUAGUGUUAACGAAGGAAAUGGAAUCGAACCAAUGCCAGCUCGACGACAACCGACAUUAGGGGAAGUGACUUUGGAGGAGUUUUUAGCUAGAGCAGGAGUGGUAAGAGAAGAACCUCCACAUAUUGAGGAGCGGCCAUUUAACUGUGGAUUUUAUGGUGGAUUAUCAAGAGAAGACAACAAUGGUAGUUUGGCUCUUGGGAUGUUCAUGGGAAAUCAGAUAACUGAGAACAAAAAUAUGGUUUCUAAUCAGAAUCAAAAUCCAGUGUUUUUAGGGACAGGAGUUGUAAGGUCUUCUCAGCCGCAGCAGCAACAGCAGCCACUUUUUCCCAAACCAGCUAAUGUGACCUUUGCUUCUUCAAUGAAUUUAGUGAACAAUCCCCAGCUUACCAAUGGAUCUGGGACUAAUUUGGUUGUGGCCCCAAAACCUCCUUUGCAUGAUGCAUUAAUUCAAGGCACGGGCAUUGGUGCGAUCGGCUUAGGCACGAGAGGUGUAACUGUUGCUUCAAGAUCUCCUACAAGUACAAUAUCAUCUGAUGUGAUUACAAAAUCCAGCAUUGAGGCGUCUUCAUUUUCACCCGUUCCAUUUUCAUUUGGCCGGGGUCGGCGAAGCAGUGGAGCUCUGGAGAAAGUGGUCGAGAGGAGACAACGAAGAAUGAUAAAGAACAGAGAGUCAGCUGCAAGAUCACGGGCUCGUAAACAGCUUCCCAAGUCUUCUAGUCAAAAUAUUAUGGAUGGAUUCCUUAUAUUAUGCCUGUAAAACUUGCAGCAGCUUCAGUCAAUUGAUGGCUUACACCUUGGAACUUGAAGCAGAAGUUGCAAAACUCAAAGAAAUGAACCAAGAGUUGCAGAAGAAACAGAGAGAGAUAAUGGAGACACAGAAAAAUCAGGUUUUGGAGAAGAUGAAAUAUCAGUUGGGCGGCAAAAGAUUCUGCUUGAGAAGAACACUGACUGGCCCAUGGUAGAGGUGCCAUGAUGAGUUGUCAAAUUUAGUUAUAGUGUCUGAAACCAGCACAGAAGCAGUGUGUAAAAAAAGGCUUAGACUGUGUGUUUCUAAUCUGAUUUCAAGUUUAGAGAUAGAUUGGUAGCUGUAGAUAACGAAGUUCGAGUACCGGUAUGUAGAUAGCUUACAGAAAGCAGAGUUGAGCUAUAUGUUGUAUAAAUGAUCCUUCUGUAUUCUAAUGGUUGUUUGCUUGGAUCUUUGACCUCUGUAUCAUCAAAAUGGUUGUUUAUAGUUUGCCUAACCAUUUCCUCUA